GACGAACGCUGGCGGCGUGCUUAAAAACAUGCAAGUCGAACGGACUUCUCAUGAAGCUUGCGAUUGAGAAGUUAGUGGCGGACGGGUGAGUAACGCGUGGGCAACCUGCCCCUGAGCCCGGGAUAACAGUUCGAAAGGACUGCUAAGACCGGAUAUACUUGCGGGGAAGCAUUUCUCUGUAAGGAAAGGGAACGCUCAGGGAUGGGCCCGCGUCCCAUUAGCUAGUUGGUGAGGUUAACGGCCCACCAAGGCGACGAUGGGUAGCCGGCCUGAGAGGGUGAACGGCCACACUGGGACUGAGACACGGCCCAGACUCCUACGGGAGGCAGCAGUUGGGAAUCUUCGGCAAUGGGCGCAAGCCUGACCGAGCAACGCCGCGUGAGUGAUGAAGGUUUUCGGAUUGUAAAGCUCUGUCUUCCGGGACGAUAAUGACGGUACCGGAGGAGGAAGCCAACGGCUAACUACGUG
RNAcentral lists this ribosomal RNA (468 nucleotides) under uncultured bacterium. RNAcentral describes it as "bacterial SSU rRNA". It matches the Rfam family "Bacterial small subunit ribosomal RNA", at positions 28 to 507 of the family's 1533-position model. The record is from RNAcentral.